AACGAACGCUGGCGGCAUGCCUAACACAUGCAAGUCGAACGAGACCUUCGGGUCUAGUGGCGCACGGGUGCGUACCGCGUGGGAACCUGCCCUUAGGUUCGGAAUAACUCCCCGAAAGGGGUGCUAAUACCGGCUAAUGUCUCCGGACCAAAGAUUUAUCGCCUUUGGAUGGGCCCGCGUUGGAUUAGCUAGUUGGUAGGGUAAAAGCCUACCAAGGCGACGAUCCAUAGCUGGUCUGAGAGGAAGAUCAGCCACACUGGGACUGAGACACGGCCCAGACUCCUAGGGGAGGGAGGAGUGGGGAAUAUAGGACAAUGGGCGAAAGCCUGAUCCCGCAAUGCCGCGUGAGUGAUGAAGGCCUUAGGGUUGUAAAGCUCUUUUACCCGGGAUGAUAAUGACGGUACCGGGAGAAUAAGCACCGGCUAACUCCGUG
Molecule: ribosomal RNA, 433 nt
Filed under: uncultured bacterium
Lineage: Bacteria
Description: partial 16S ribosomal RNA
Rfam family: Bacterial small subunit ribosomal RNA
Source: RNAcentral